AGAACGAACGCUGGCGGCGUGGAUAAGACAUGCAAGUCGAACGGGCUUAAUUUUAGAGCAAUCUAGGGUUGAGCCAGUGGCGAACGGGUGCGUAACACGUGAGUCAUCUGCCUGAAAGUGGGGGAUAGCUCGCCGAAAGGCGAAUUAAUACCGCAUGUGGUUGUGAAACCAAAGCCGGGGCAACCUGGCGCUUUUAGAGGAGCUCGCGGCCUAUCAGCUUGUUGGUGAGGUAACAGCUUACCAAGGCAACGACGGGUAGCUGGUCUGAGAGGACGACCAGCCACACUGGAACUGAGACACGGUCCAGACACCUACGGGUGGCAGCAGUCGAGAAUUUUUCUCAAUGGGGGAAACCCUGAAGGAGCGACGCCGCGUGGAGGAUGAAGGCUUUCGGGUUGUAAACUCCUGUCAUUUGGGAACAAGUCUUACGUAACUGCGUGGAGAUUUGAUAGUACCGAAAGAGGAAGAGACGGCUAACUCUGUGCCAGCAGCCGCGGUAA
This 500-nucleotide ribosomal RNA is filed under the name uncultured bacterium. RNAcentral's name for it is "SSU rRNA". It matches the Rfam family "Bacterial small subunit ribosomal RNA", at positions 26 to 523 of the family's 1533-position model. The record is from RNAcentral.